AGAGCGAACGCUGGCGGCGUGCUUAACACAUGCAAGUCGAGUGCGCGCCUGUAGCAAUACAGGUGGCGCACGGCGCACGGGUGCGUAACACGUGGGUAAUCUGCCCUUCGAUGGGGAAUAACUCCGGGAAACCGAAGCUAACUCCGCAUAACAUUCCGAGAACUUCCGUUUUCGGAUUCAAAGGCGUAAGUCGUCGGAGGAGGAGCCCGCGCACGAUUAGCUAGUUGGUGAGGUAAUGGCUCACCAAGGCUAUGAUCGUUAGCU
RNAcentral lists this ribosomal RNA (264 nucleotides) under uncultured bacterium. RNAcentral describes it as "partial small subunit ribosomal RNA". It matches the Rfam family "Bacterial small subunit ribosomal RNA", at positions 26 to 288 of the family's 1533-position model. The record is from RNAcentral.